AUUGAACGCUGGCGGCAUGCCUUACACAUGCAAGUCGAACGGCAGCACGGGAGCUUGCUCCUGGUGGCGAGUGGCGAACGGGUGAGUAAUACAUCGGAACGUACCCAGGAGUGGGGGAUAACGUAGCGAAAGUUACGCUAAUACCGCCUAUUCUGUGAGCAGGAAAGCGGGGGAUCGCAAGACCUCGCGCUCUUGGAGCGGCCGAUGUCGGAUUAGCUAGUUGGUGAGGUAAAAGCUCACCAAGGCGACGAUCCGUAGCAGGUCUGAGAGGAUGAUCUGCCACACUGGGACUGAGACACGGCCCAGACUCCUACGGGAGGCACCAGUGGGGAAUUUUGGACAAUGGGGGCAACCCUGAUCCAGCCAUGCCGCGUGAGUGAAGAAGGCCUUCGGGUUGUAAAGCUCUUUCGGCGGGGAAGAAAUGGCAACGGCUAAUAUCCGUUGUUGAUGACGGUACCCGCAUAAGAAGCACCGGCUAACUACGUGCCAGCAGCCGCGGUAAUACGUAGGGUGCGAGCGUUAAUCGGAAUUACUGGGCGUAAAGCGUGCGCAGGCGGUUUCGUAAGACAGACGUGAAAUCCCCGGGCUCAACCUGGGAACUGCGUUUGUGACUGCGAGGCUAGAGUACGGCAGAGGGGGGUAGAAUUCCACGUGUAGCAGUGAAAUGCGUAGAGAUGUGGAGGAAUACCGAUGG
Molecule: ribosomal RNA, 694 nt
Filed under: uncultured Azospira sp.
Lineage: Bacteria; Pseudomonadati; Pseudomonadota; Betaproteobacteria; Rhodocyclales; Rhodocyclaceae
Description: bacterial SSU rRNA
Rfam family: Bacterial small subunit ribosomal RNA
Source: RNAcentral